UGCGUGGGCACAGCAGCCUCAGGGGUCCUAGUGCGCGCCAUGGCGUCACCUGAGGCUGGGUUCUUCAGGACCCAAAGGGAUUCUGCCACCAGCUGAGGACCCAGUACCCCUCAGAGGGCCAGGGCUGUAUUUGCAGCAGUUGGUACCUCCUGUGGUGCGAUGCAGAAGUGGCCUCGUUGGCUGAGAGCUGAGGAGGUGGCUCUGGGCUGCUUCCCGAGACAUGCUGGUAGAAGCAGACCUGUUUCUGGGGAGAAAUCCCGACUCAAAUUAAGAGGAAGAGGAGCAGCCUGUAGUUGGGAGCUGAAAACACAACCUGCUGACUCUCAGGGUGUCUUAGAAGAAUGCAAUUGGGGCCUACUUGCAGAUUACUGCUGGAUUCAGAAUCCCAGGAAGGGAGGAGGGAGCAAGCUGGAGAGCUUGAGGACUCACGUGAGUACCAGGAAAAGUGCGGCAUCUCUCCACUUCUCUUCUCUCCGCCUUCCUGCGGCCAGGGUGAGACUGAGAUGGGCAGCCCUUCAGGGACCCCAAUAUUCUUCAUAACGAAAAUUUAACCAACAUCCUUUAGACACUUGUUCAACAUCUGUUUGGAGGAAAAGCUACUUGCUGCAUGGGGAAGGAUGAAAAAGAAAGAGGUGACAGUGUGCAGCCUCAUCCCUAGAGUGCCAAGCAAAGCACCUCUGGCCCUAAACUCGCAUGCUCCUCUCAGUCAGAAGCAAAGCCCUGCAGUUGGUCUGAUCUACUUU
Molecule: long non-coding RNA, 743 nt
Organism: Mustela erminea (ermine)
Lineage: Eukaryota; Metazoa; Chordata; Mammalia; Carnivora; Mustelidae
Exons: 3
Source: RefSeq, a predicted model, not a curated record